RNAcentral lists this ribosomal RNA (254 nucleotides) under uncultured bacterium. RNAcentral's name for it is "partial 16S ribosomal RNA". It matches the Rfam family "Bacterial small subunit ribosomal RNA", at positions 524 to 776 of the family's 1533-position model. The record is from RNAcentral.
UACGUAGGGUGCGAGCGUUGCCCGGAUUUACUGGGCGUAAAGAGCGCGUAGGCGGCUCGAUAAGUGUGAAGUGAAAUCUCUAGGGCUCAACCCAGAAACUGCUUUACAUACUGUCGAGCUGGAGUGAUGAAGAGGUUUGUGGAAUUCCUGGUGUAGCGGUGAAAUGCGUUGAUAUCAGGAGGAACACCCAUGGCGAAGGCAGCAAACUGGUCAGCAACUGACGCUGAGGCGCGAAAGCGUGGGGAGCAAACAGG